RNAcentral lists this ribosomal RNA (522 nucleotides) under uncultured bacterium. RNAcentral's name for it is "bacterial SSU rRNA". It matches the Rfam family "Archaeal small subunit ribosomal RNA", at positions 345 to 866 of the family's 1478-position model. The record is from RNAcentral.
AACCUCCGCAAUGUGAGAAAUCGCGACGGGGGGAUCCCAAGUGCCAUUCUUAACGGGAUGGCUUUUCAUUAGUGUAAAGAGCUUUUGGAAUAAGAGCUGGGCAAGACCGGUGCCAGCCGCCGCGGUAACACCGGCAGCUCUAGUGGUAACAAUUUUUAUUGGGCCUAAAGCGUCCGUAGCCGGUUUAAUAAGUCUCUGGUGAAAUCCUGUAGCUUAACUGUGGGAAUUGCUGGAGAUACUAUUAGACUUGAGACCGGGAGAGGUUAGAGGUACUCCCAGGGUAGAGGUGAAAUUCUGUAAUCCUGGGAGGACCGCCUGUUGCGAAGGCGUCUAACUGGAACGGUUCUGACGGUGAGGGACGAAAGUUAGGGGCGCGAACCGGAUUUAGAUACCCGGGUAGUCCUAACUGUAAACGAUGCGGACUUGGUGUUGGGGUGGCUUUGAGCUGCUCCAGUGCCGAAGGGAAGCUGUUAAGUCCGCCGCCUGGGAAGUACGGUCGCAAGACUGAAACUUAAAGGAAUU